AUCCAGCUGACGAGUCCCUAAUAGAACAAAACAUGCGUCCUCGAU
Molecule: non-coding RNA, 45 nt
Organism: Schistosoma haematobium
Lineage: Eukaryota; Metazoa; Platyhelminthes; Trematoda; Strigeidida; Schistosomatidae
Source: Rfam